This 468-nucleotide ribosomal RNA is filed under the name uncultured bacterium. RNAcentral describes it as "partial 16S ribosomal RNA". It matches the Rfam family "Bacterial small subunit ribosomal RNA", at positions 28 to 507 of the family's 1533-position model. The record is from RNAcentral.
GACGAACGCUGGCGGCGUGCUUAACACAUGCAAGUCGAACGGAAAGGCCCUGCUUUUGUGGGGUGCUCGAGUGGCGAACGGGUGAGUAACACGUGAGUAACCUGCCCUUGACUUUGGGAUAACUUCAGGAAACUGGGGCUAAUACCGGAUAGGAGCUCCUGCUGCAUGGUGGGGGUUGGAAAGUUUGGGCGGUUGGGGAUGGACUCGCGGCUUAUCAGCUUGUUGGUGGGGUAGUGGCUUACCAAGGCUUUGACGGGUAGCCGGCCUGAGAGGGUGACCGGCCACAUUGGGACUGAGAUACGGCCCAGACUCCUACGGGAGGCAGCAGUGGGGAAUAUUGCACAAUGGGGGGAAGCCUGAUGCAGCAACGCCGCGUGCGGGAUGACGGCCUUCGGGUGGUAAACCACUUUCGCCUGUGAUGAAGCGUGAUUGACGGUAAUGGGUAAAGAAGCACCGGCUAACUACGUG